Molecule: ribosomal RNA, 441 nt
Filed under: uncultured bacterium
Lineage: Bacteria
Description: partial 16S ribosomal RNA
Rfam family: Bacterial small subunit ribosomal RNA
Source: RNAcentral
CCUACGGGAGGCAGCAGUGGGGAAUAUUGCACAAUGGGGGAAACCCUGAUGCAGCGACGCCGCGUGAGUGAAGAAGUAUUUCGGUAUGUAAAGCUCUAUCAGCAGGGAAGAAGAAAGACGGUACCUGACUAAGAAGCGCCGGCUAACUACGUGCCAGCAGCCGCGGUAAUUCGUAGGGGGCAAGCGUUAUCCGGAUUUACUGGGUGUAAAGGGAGCGUAGACGGGUGUGCAAGUCUGAAGUGAAAGGCCAGGGCUCAAACCCGGGACUGCUUUGGAAACUGUAGAGCUAGAGUGCGGGAGAGGUAAGUGGAAUGCGUGGUGUAGCGGUGAAAUGCGUAGAUAUUAGGAGGAACACCAGUGGCGAAGGCGGCUUACUGGACAGUAACUGACGUUGAGGCUCGAAAGCGUGGGGAGCAAACAGGAUUAGAUACCCGUGUAGUC